AGUGAACGCUGGCGGUAGGCCUAACACAUGCAAGUCGAACGGCAGCACAGUAAGAGCUUGCUCUUACGGGUGGCGAGUGGCGGACGGGUGAGGAAUACAUCGGAAUCUACUUUUUCGUGGGGGAUAACGUAGGGAAACUUACGCUACUACCGCAUACGACCUACGGGUGAAAGCAGGGGAUCUUCGGACCUUGCGCGAUUGAAUGAGCCGAUGUCGGAUUAGCUAGUUGGCGGGGUAAAGGCCCACCAAGGCGACGAUCCGUAGCUGGUCUGAGAGGAUGAUCAGCCACACUGGAACUGAGACACGGUCCAGACUCCUACGGGAGGCAGCAGUGGGGAAUAUUGGACAAUGGGCGCAAGCCUGAUCCAGCCAUACCGCGUGGGUGAAGAAGGCCUUCGGGUUGUAAAGCCCUUUUGUUGGGAAAGAAAAGCAGCAGGUUAAUACCCCGCUGCUCUGACGGUACCCAAAGAAUAAGCACCGGCUAACUUCGUG
This 492-nucleotide ribosomal RNA is filed under the name uncultured bacterium. Its description in RNAcentral is "partial 16S ribosomal RNA". It matches the Rfam family "Bacterial small subunit ribosomal RNA", at positions 29 to 507 of the family's 1533-position model. The record is from RNAcentral.